This 399-nucleotide ribosomal RNA is filed under the name uncultured bacterium. RNAcentral describes it as "partial 16S ribosomal RNA". It matches the Rfam family "Bacterial small subunit ribosomal RNA", at positions 360 to 773 of the family's 1533-position model. The record is from RNAcentral.
AAUAUUGCGCAAUGGAGGAAACUCUGACGCAGCGACGCGGCGUGAGCGAUGAAGGUCUUCGGUUCGUAAAGCUCUGUCCUCAGGGAAGAAGUAAGUGACGGUAUCUGAGGAGGUAGCCCCGGCGAACUACGUGCCGGCAGCCGCGGUAAUACGUAGGGGGCAAGCGUUGUCCGGAAUUAUUGGGCGUAAAGGGUGCGUAGGCGGCUUUUUAAGUCAGAUGUGAAAGACCACAGCUUAACUGUGGGGUUGCAUUUGCAACUGGAGAGCUUGAGUAUCGGAGAGGGUAGUGGAAUUCCUGGAGUAGCGGUGAAAUGCGUAGAUAUCAGGAGGAACACCAGUGGCGAAGGCGACUACCUGGACGAAAUCUGACGCUGAGGCACGAAAGCUAGGGGAGCAAAA